GACGAACGCUGGCGGCGUGCCUAAUACAUGCAAGUCGAGCGGACGGAUGGGAGCUUGCUCCCAGCCCGUCAGCGGCGGACGGGUGAGUAACACGUGGGCAACCUGCCUGUAAGACUGGGAUAACUCCGGGAAACCGGGGCUAAUACCGGAUAACUCUUUCCCUCACAUGAGGGAAAGCUGAAAGAUGGCAUCUCGCUAUCACUUACAGAUGGGCCCGCGGCGCAUUAGCUAGUUGGUGAGGUAACGGCUCACCAAGGCGACGAUGCGUAGCCGACCUGAGAGGGUGAUCGGCCACACUGGGACUGAGACACGGCCCAGACUCCUACGGGAGGCAGCAGUAGGGAAUCUUCCGCAAUGAACGAAAGUCUGACGGAGCAACGCCGCGUGAGUGAUGAAGGUUUUCGGAUCGUAAAACUCUGUUGUCAGGGAAGAACAAGUACCGGAGUAACUGCCGGUACCUUGACGGUACCUGACCAGAAAGCCACGGCUAACUACGUG
RNAcentral lists this ribosomal RNA (498 nucleotides) under uncultured bacterium. RNAcentral describes it as "partial 16S ribosomal RNA". It matches the Rfam family "Bacterial small subunit ribosomal RNA", at positions 28 to 507 of the family's 1533-position model. The record is from RNAcentral.